Molecule: long non-coding RNA, 2603 nt
Organism: Homarus americanus (American lobster)
Lineage: Eukaryota; Metazoa; Arthropoda; Malacostraca; Decapoda; Nephropidae
Exons: 2
Source: RefSeq, a predicted model, not a curated record
CACCACCCAGUGUAUAUCACCACCACUCCGUGUUUACCACCACCACUCCGUGUAUACCACCACCACCCUGUGUAUAUCAUCACCUCCCUGUGUAUACUACCACUACCACAUUGUGUAUACAACCACCACCCUGUGUAUGCAACCACCACCCUGUGUAUACCACCACCACCCUGUGUAUACCACCACCACCCUGUGUAUACCAUCACCUCCCUGUGUAUACCAUCACCUCCCUGUAUAUAUCAUCACCUCCCUGUGUGUACCACCACUACCACAUUGUGUAUUUCACCAAACCACCCCAAUGUGUGUACCACCACCAUCAACCACACUAUCUGUACCACCAACCUGUUUAUACUAACACCACCCUGGUGUUGCCAUCAUCACUCUCCGAGUGCCACUAUCACCACCCUGUGCGUAUCACCACCACCACCCAGUGUGUACCAUCACCACCACCACCAUGUGCAUAACACCUUGUGUACAGUAUAUCACCACCACCGCGUGGCCACAUGAUCACACAUCUUCACGUGUCACCCCAUAAUAACACAGCCGGCGGGCGUUUCCCGUUUUCUUUGGCUCAGUUUUUGUAAAUUGUUUCUAGUAUAAUCUGGUAAUUGUUAUGACCUCCCUAACUCCCUUCAUGUGCUUACUUCACCCUAUGGUAAUUUAUUUGUUUCUUAAUGACGAAGGAAAUUAACGCUGAUAUUUACUUGUUUCUUUGUUUGAAAAGAAAUUAUUUUUGAUUUAUUUACUUUUAAAGUUUUUUUUGUGGGGGGGGGGGAAUAAUUCUUUAAAUAUUUUUGUAAUUUAUAAUAUAGUUUUCCUCUGAUAAUCUUCUUUUUUUUAUAUAGAAAACCUUGUUGAGAAGUGAUCAAGGACAACUGCAGGUGUGGUGGUGACCCUGUAUAAUAUUUCACUGACUGUUCGGUCUUAUUUACAACAAUUGAGAUGAAAGUUGGAACAAAUAAAACUUGCUGUAUGACUCACACACUGGGUUUAAUAAGAGAGAGAGAGAGAGAUGCGGAUUUUUUUUACCAUUCUAUAGGGGUCAAAGGUCACCUGCAAGUCAUAUUGGCGUCGUGUGUGUGUGUGUAAACGAAUCAGUAGAUCUUGAGGUCAGAGUAGUUAGAUUGAUAACUAAAAACCGAUUAAAUGUGGCGAUUUGGCGGCCAUAUUUCAUAAAUUUUAUUCUCACCCCCACACACACACAUUUUUUUAGUUAAUAAGGACACUCGGGUAUGUAUCGUGAGUUCGGCGUUUAGUCAUCUUUGUUUACGUCUGAUCUGUUGUUGUUAUUCUACUUUUAUCUGUAUUCUUCUUCUUAUUAUUAUUAUUAUUAUUAUUAUUAUUAUUAUUAUUAUUAUUAUUAUUAUUAUUGUAACAUUGGGUACCCAUUAUACACCUUCCAGGUCUGGUCACGUCUGGCUCUUUACACAGUGAUUCAUCUUUCUCAUAAACUUGACUCGUGUACUCACAUACCUGACUGUCACGUGUUUACAAGCCUGACUCACGCUCACUAGCCGGAUGUUCAUGUGACAUAAAUCCCAACCACGUGUGUGUGUGUGUGUGUGUGUGUGUGUGUGUGUGUGUGUGUGUGUGUGUGUGUGUGUGGUAAACUGCUUCACAUAUUGGGUUGAAACUACCGCCGGUGACACCGGUAGAGUAUUUAUAUUUCACGUAACGCAAGUUAAACUAACCUAACCUUACCCAUUCUAACCUAAUUUAUGGAUGACUAAGCUUAACCUAUCUUAAUCAAGCCUAACUUUAGCAUAGCUGAACGUUACUUAACAAACAAACGUAACUUAACCAAACCCACCUAAACUACUAUAACAUAACACAGCUAUAGUUAAUCUCACCAAACUUAAUCUAACCGAACUUUUCUAACCUAACCUAAUUCAGUCACACGUAAACUAACCUGACCAGGCCAGAUUAAAUAUGUUUACGUAACAUUGGGUUAGAUUAGGAUAGUUUAGGUUGGAUUGCGUUACGCUCGUUUAGAUUUGGUUAGGUUAUGUUAGAUUAGGUUAAAUUAAGGUAGUUUAAGCUAGAUUUGAUGAAAUUAGGUUAGGUUAGGUUAGGUUAGGUUAGGUUAGGUUAGGUUUGUUCGUGUCGUUUGAAAUUUGAUGGUUUAGCGAUACAUUAUUAUUAUUAUUAUUAUUAUUAUUAUUAUUAUUAUUAUUAUUAUUAUUAUUAUUAGUAUUAUUAUUAUGUGAGGAUUGAUAUCGUCUGUGUCAAAGUGUUAGAAAAUAUAAUUGUUAAAAUAUUGUCGUCCUUCUGUUAGAAUGGUAUAAAUUAGCUUAUUGUCGUAAAUGUGACGUUAAUUAUGCUAGUAGUAGAUAAUUUAUAGAAUUUAUAUAUGUUAGUAUUGUUUGUAUAGUGUUGUUGUUUCCCUUAGAAUGAUGUAAUUGAUUUGUAGUGUUAAUAUUUUUUUGAGAAUUGUAAAUAGUAUUUAUUGUUAACGUGGUAUUGGUACUCCUCUUGUUAAUAUAGAAUUAGUCAUUGUUAACAUGGUGUGGUUGGCUGUGUUCUAUGUUAACACUGAGUAUAUUGUUAUGUAGAUAUGUUGUGUCGACUUAAUCAGAUUUUAGAUAAAAUUGACGUGAAAGAAU